This 419-nucleotide ribosomal RNA is filed under the name uncultured bacterium. RNAcentral's name for it is "bacterial SSU rRNA". It matches the Rfam family "Bacterial small subunit ribosomal RNA", at positions 356 to 774 of the family's 1533-position model. The record is from RNAcentral.
AAGGAAUAUUGCUCAAUGGGAGAAAUCCUGAAGCAGCAACGCCGCGUGGAGGAUGAAGGGUCUAUGACUUGUAAACUCCUGUAAAGAAGGAAAAAAUUCCCAUUUGAUGGGAGAUGAUGGUACUUCUGGAGUAAGCCCCGGCUAACUACGUGCCAGCAGCAGUGGUAAAACGUAGGAGGCGAGCGUUAUCCGGAUUUACUGGGCGUAAAGCGCGUGCAGGCGGAUUGGAGAGUUGGAUGUGAAAGCUCCCGGCUUAACUGGGAGAGGUCGUUCAAUACUUCCAGUCUUGAGUGCAGUAGAGGGAAGUGGAAUUCCGGGUGUAGUGGUGAAAUGCGUAGAUAUCCGGAGGAACACCAGUGGCGAAAGCGGCUUCCUGGACUGUAACUGACGCUCAGACGCGAAAGCUAGGGUAGCAAACG